AGAGGUCCAGUCAUCAUUAUUACCAGCCAGAGGUCCAGUCAUCAUUAUUACCAGCCAGAGGUCCAGUCAUCAUUAUUACCAGUCAGAGGUCCAGUCAUCAUUAUUACCAGCCAGAGGGACAGUCAUCAUUAUUACCAGCCAGAGGUCCAGUCAUCAUUAUUACCAGCCAGAGGUCCAGUCAUCAUUAUUACCAGCCAGAGGUCCAGUCAUCAUUAUUACCUGUCAGAGGUUCAGUCAUCAUUAUUACCAGUCAGAGGUCCAGUCAUCAUUAUUACCUGUCAGAGGUUCAGUCAUCAUUAUUACCAGUCAGAGGUCCAGUCAUCAUUUUUACCAGCCAGAGGUCCAGUCAUCAUUAUUACCAGCCAGAGGUCCAGUCAUCAUUAUUACCAGUCAGAGGUCCAGUCAUCAUUAUUACCAGUCAGAGGUUCAGUCAUCAUUAUUACCAGCCAGAGGGGCAGUCAUCAUUAUUACCAGUCAGAGGUUCAGUCAUCAUUAUUACCAGUCAGAGGGGCAGUCAUCAUUAUUACCAGUCAGAGGGGCAGUCAUCAUUAUUACCAGUCAGAGGUUCAGUCAUCAUUAUUACCAGUCAGAGGUCCAGUCAUCAUUAUUACCAGCCAGAGGUCCAGUCAUCAUUAUUACCAGUCAGAGGUUCAGUCAUCAUUAUUACCAGCCAGAGGUCCAGUCAUCAUUAUUACCAGCCAGAGGGGCAGUCAUCAUUAUUACCAGUCAGAGGUUCAGUCAUCAUUAUUACCAGCCAGAGGGGCAGUCAUCAUUAUUACCAGCCAGAGGGGCAGUCAUCAUUAUUACCAGUCAGAGGUUCAGUCAUCAUUAUUACCAGUCAGAGGUCCAGUCAUCAUUAUUACCAGUCAGAGGUCCAGUCAUCAUUAUUACCAGCCAGAGGUCCAGUCAUCAUUAUUACCAGUCAGAGGUCCAGUCAUCAUUAUUACCAGUCAGAGGUCCAGUCAUCAUUAUUACCAGUCAGAGGUUCAGUCAUCAUUAUUACCAGUCAGAGGUUCAGUCAUCAUUAUUACCAGUCAGAGGUUCAGUCAUCAUUAUUACCAGUCAGAGGGACAGUCAUCAUUAUUACCAGUCAGAGGUCCAGUCAUCAUUAUUACCAGCCAGAGGUCCAGUCAUCAUUAUUACCAGUCAGAGGUUCAGUCAUCAUUAUUACCAGUCAGAGGUUCAGUCAUCAUUAUUACCAGUCAGAGGUUCAGUCAUCAUUAUUACCAGUCAGAGGUUCAGUCAUCAUUAUUACCAGUUAGAGGUUCAGUCAUCAUUAUUACCAGUCAGAGGUCCAGUCGUCGUUAUUACCAGUCAGAGGUUCAGUCAUCAUUAUUACCAGUCAGAGGGGCAGUCAUCAUUAUUACCAGUCAGAGGUUCAGUCAUCAUUAUUACCAGUCAGAGGGGCAGUCAUCAUUAUUACCAGUCAGAGGGGCAGUCAUCAUUAUUACCUGACUCAAUGACCAUUAAAUGGCCCAGAGGUCCAGUCAUCAUUAUUACCAGCCAGAGGUUCAGUCAUCAUUAUUACCAGUCAGAGGUCCAGUCAUCAUUAUUACCAGUCAGAGGUUCAGUCAUCAUUAUUACCAGUCAGAGGUCCAGUCAUCAUUAUUACCAGCCAGAGGUUCAGUCAUCAUUAUUACCAGUCAGAGGGGCAGUCAUCAUUAUUACCAGUCAGAGGUUGAGUCAUCAUUAUUACCAGUCAGAGGUUCAGUCAUCAUUAUUACCAGUCAGAGGUUCAGUCAUCAUUAUUACCAGUCAGAGGUUCAGUCAUCAUUAUUACCAGUCAGAGGUUCAGUCAUCAUUAUUACCAGUCAGAGGUUCAGUCAUCAUUAUUACCAGUCAGAGGUUCAGUCAUCAUUAUUACCAGUCAGAGGUUCAGUCAUCAUUAUUACCAGUCAGAGGUUCAGUCAUCAUUAUUACCAGUCAGAGGUUCAGUCAUCAUUAUUACCAGUCAGAGGUUCAGUCAUCAUUAUUACCAGUCAGAGGUUCAGUCAUCAUUAUUACCAGUCAGAGGUUCAGUCAUCAUUAUUACCAGCCAGAGGGGCAGUCAUCAUUAUUACCAGUCAGAGGUUCAGUCAUCAUUAUUACCAGCCAGAGGUCCAGUCAUCAUUAUUACCAGCCAGAGGUCCAGUCAUCAUUAUUACCAGUCAGGGGGGCAGUCAUCAUUAUUACCAGCCAGAGGUUCAGUCAUCAUUAUUACCAGUCAGAGGUCCAGUCAUCAUUAUUACCAGCCAGAGGUUCAGUCAUCAUUAUUACCAGUCAGAGGUUCAGUCAUCAUUAUUACCAGCCAGAGGUUCAGUCAUCAUUAUUACCAGUCAGAGGUUCAGUCAUCAUUAUUACCAGUCAGAGGGGCAGUCAUCAUUAUUACCAGUCAGGGGUUCAGUCAUCAUUAUUACCAGUCAGAGGGGCAGUCAUCAUUAUUACCAGCCAGAGGUUCAGUCAUCAUUAUUACCAGCCAGAGGGGCAGUCAUCAUUAUUACCAGUCAGAGGGGCAGUCAUCAUUAUUACCAGUCAGAGGUUCAGUCAUCAUUAUUACCAGUCAGAGGUUCAGUCAUCAUUAUUACCAGCCAGAGGGGCAGUCAUCAUUAUUACCAGCCAGAGGGGCAGUCAUCAUUAUUACCAGUCAGAGGUUCAGUCAUCAUUAUUACCAGUCAGAGGUCCAGGCAUCAUUAUUACCAGCCAGAGGUUCAGUCAUCAUUAUUACCAGCCAGAGGUUCAGUCAUCAUUAUUACCAGCCAGAGGGGCAGUCAUCAUUAUUACCAGUCAGAGGUUCAGUCAUCAUUAUUACCAGUCAGAGGUUCAGUCAUCAUUAUUACCAGUCAGAGGUUCAGUCAUCAUUAUUACCAGCCAGAGGUUCAGUCAUCAUUAUUACCAGUCAGAGGUCCAGUCAUCAUUAUUACCAGCCAGAGGGGCAGUCAUCAUUAUUACCAGUCAGAGGUUCAGUCAUCAUUAUUACCAGCCAGAGGGGCAGUCAUCAUUAUUACCAGUCAGAGGUUCAGUCAUCAUUAUUACCAGCCAGAGGUUCAGUCAUCAUUAUUACCAGCCAGAGGGGCAGUCAUCAUUAUUACCAGUCAGAGGUCCAGUCAUCAUUAUUACCAGUCAGAGGGGCAGUCAUCAUUAUUACCAGUCAGAGGUUCAGUCAUCAUUAUUACCAGUCAGAGGUCCAGUCAUCAUUAUUACCAGUCAGAGGUCCAGUCAUCAUUAUUACCAGCCAGAGGUCCAGUCAUCAUUAUUACCAGUCAGAGGUUCAGUCAUCAUUAUUACCAGUCAGAGGUUCAGUCAUCAUUAUUACCAGCCAGAGGUUCAGUCAUCAUUAUUACCAGUCAGAGGUUCAGUCAUCAUUAUUACCAGUCAGAGGUUCAGUCAUCAUUAUUACCAGUCAGAGGUUCAGUCAUCAUUAUUACCAGUCAGAGGGGCAGUCAUCAUUAUUACCAGUCAGAGGUUCAGUCAUCAUUAUUACCAGUCAGAGGUUCAGUCAUCAUUAUUACCAGUCAGAGGUUCAGUCAUCAUUAUUACCAGUCAGAGGUCCAGUCAUCAUUAUUACCAGUCAGAGGGGCAGUUAUCAUUAUUACCAGCCAGAGGUUCAGUCAUCAUUAUUACCAGUCAGAGGUCCAGUCAUCAUUAUUACCAGCCAGAGGUCCAGUCAUCAUUAUUACCAGCCAGAGGUCCAGUCAUCAUUAUUACCAGUCAGAGGUCCAGUCAUCAUUAUUACCAGUCAGAGGUUCAGUCAUCAUUAUUACCAGUCAGAGGUCCAGUCAUCAUUAUUACCAGUCAGAGGUUCAGUCAUCAUUAUUACCAGCCAGAGGUCCAGUCAUCAUUAUUACCAGUCAGAGGUCCAGUCAUCAUUAUUACCAGUCAGAGGUCCAGUCAUCAUUAUUACCAGUCAGAGGUCCAGUCAUCAUUAUUACCAGUCAGAGGGGCAGUCAUCAUUAUUACCUGUCAGAGGUUCAGUCAUCAUUAUUACCAGCCAGAGGUUCAGUCAUCAUUAUUACCAGUCAGGGGGGCAGUCAUCAUUAUUACCAGUCAGAGGGGCAGUCAUCAUUAUUACCAGUCAGGGGGGCAGUCAUCAUUAUUACCAGUCAGGGGGGCAGUCGUCAUUAUUACCAGUCAGGGGGGCAGUCAUCAUUAUUACCAGCCAGAGGUUCAGUCAUCAUUAUUACCAGUCAGGGGGGCAGUCAUCAUUAUUACCAGCCAGAGGUUCAGUCAUCAUUAUUACCAGUCAGAGGUCCAGUCAUCAUUAUUACCAGCCAGAGGUUCAGUCAUCAUUAUUACCAGUCAGAGGUUCAGUCAUCAUUAUUACCAGCCAGAGGUUCAGUCGUCAUUAUUACCAGUCAGGGGGGCAGUCAUCAUUAUUACCAGCCAGAGGUUCAGUCAUCAUUAUUACCAGUCAGAGGUCCAGUCAUCAUUAUUACCAGCCAGAGGUUCAGUCAUCAUUAUUACCAGUCAGAGGUUCAGUCAUCAUUAUUACCAGUCAGAGGUCCAGACAUCAUUAUUACCAGCCAGAGGUUCAGUCAUCAUUAUUACCAGCCAGAGGGGCAGUCAUCAUUAUUACCAGUCAGAGGGGCAGUCAUCAUUAUUACCAGUCAGAGGGGCAGUCAUCAUUAUUACCAGUCAGAGGUUCAGUCAUCAUUAUUACCAGUCAGAGGUCCAGUCAUCAUUAUUACCAGCCAGAGGUCCAGUCAUCAUUAUUACCAGCCAGAGGGGCAGUCAUCAUUAUUACCAGUCAGAGGGGCAGUCAUCAUUAUUACCAGUCAGAGGUCCAGUCAUCAUUAUUACCAGUCAGAGGUCCAGUCAUCAUUAUUACCAGCCAGAGGUUCAGUCAUCAGUAUUACCAGUCAGAGGUCCAGUCAUCAUUAUUACCAGCCAGAGGUUCAGUCGUCAUUAUUACCAGUCAGAGGUUCAGUCAUCAUUAUUACCAGUCAGAGGUCCAGUCAUCAUUAUUACCAGCCAGAGGUUCAGUCAUCAUUAUUACCAGUCAGAGGGGCAGUCAUCAUUAUUACCAGUCAGAGGUUCAGUCAUCAUUAUUACCAGUCAGAGGUCCAGUCAUCAUUAUUACCAGUCAGAGGUUCAGUCAUCAUUAUUACCAGUCAGAGGUUCAGUCAUCAUUAUUACCAGUCAGAGGUUCAGUCAUCAUUAUUACCAGUCAGAGGUCCAGGCAUCAUUAUUACCAGCCAGAGGUUCAGUCAUCAUUAUUACCAGUCAGAGGUCCAGUCAUCAUUAUUACCAGUCAGAGGUUCAGUCAUCAUUAUUACCAGUCAGAGGUCCAGUCAUCAUUAUUACCAGUCAGAGGUCCAGUCAUCAUUAUUACCAGUCAGAGGUCCAGUCAUCAUUAUUACCAGUCAGAGGUUCAGUUAUCAUUAUUACCAGUCAGAGGUUCAGUCAUCAUUAUUACCAGUCAGAGGUCCAGUCAUCAUUAUUACCAGUCAGAGGUUCAGUCAUCAUUAUUACCAGUCAGAGGUUCAGUCAUCAUUAUUACCAGUCAGAGGUCCAGUCAUCAUUAUUACCAGCCAGAGGUCCAGUCAUCAUUAUUACCAGUCAGAGGUCCAGUCAUCAUUAUUACCAGCCAGAGGUCCAGUCAUCAUUAUUACCAGUCAGAGGUCCAGUCAUCAUUAUUACCAGUCAGAGGUUCAGUCAUCAUUAUUACCAGUCAGAGGGGCAGUCAUCAUUAUUACCAGUCAGAGGUUCAGUCAUCAUUAUUACCAGUCAGAGGUCCAGUCAUCAUUAUUACCAGUCAGAGGUCCAGUCAUCAUUAUUACCAGUCAGAGGGGCAGUCAUCAUUAUUACCAGUCAGAGGUCCAGUCAUCAUUAUUACCAGUCAGAGGUUCAGUCAUCAUUAUUACCAGUCAGAGGGGCAGUCAUCAUUAUUACCAGUCAGAGGUUCAGUCAUCAUUAUUACCAGUCAGAGGUCCAGUCAUCAUUAUUACCAGUCAGAGGUCCAGUCAUCAUUAUUACCAGUCAGAGGGGCAGUCAUCAUUAUUACCAGUCAGAGGUCCAGUCAUCAUUAUUACCAGUCAGAGGUUCAGUCAUCAUUAUUACCAGUCAGAGGUUCAGUCAUCAUUAUUACCAGCCAGAGGUUCAGUCAUCAUUAUUACCAGCCAGAGGGGCAGUCAUCAUUAUUACCAGUCAGAGGUUCAGUCAUCAUUAUUACCAGUCAGAGGUUCAGUCAUCAUUAUUACCAGUCAGAGGUUCAGUCAUCAUUAUUACCAGUCAGAGGUUCAGUCAUCAUUAUUACCAGUCAGAGGUCCAGUCAUCAUUAUUACCAGCCAGAGGUUCAGUCAUCAUUAUUACCAGUCAGAGGUUCAGUCAUCAUUAUUACCAGUCAGAGGUCCAGUCAUCAUUAUUACCAGUCAGAGGUUCAGUCAUCAUUAUUACCAGUCAGAGGUUCAGUCAUCAUUAUUACCAGUCAGAGGGGCAGUCAUCAUUAUUACCAGUCAGAGGUCCAGUCAUCAUUAUUACCAGUCAGAGGUCCAGUCAUCAUUAUUACCAGCCAGAGGUCCAGUCAUCAUUAUUACCAGUCAGAGGUCCAGUCAUCAUUAUUACCAGUCAGAGGUCCAGUCAUCAUUAUUACCAGU
Oncorhynchus mykiss (rainbow trout) is the source of this 6572-nucleotide long non-coding RNA. The record is from Ensembl. Lineage: Eukaryota; Metazoa; Chordata; Actinopteri; Salmoniformes; Salmonidae.